RNAcentral lists this long non-coding RNA (450 nucleotides) under Bos taurus (domestic cattle). RNAcentral describes it as "long non-coding RNA NONBTAT006131". The record is from RNAcentral. Lineage: Eukaryota; Metazoa; Chordata; Mammalia; Artiodactyla; Bovidae.
GAAUAUUGAAAACUGGCUUUAUUGGAGAGCAAAAUUGAAAAUUAUCUGAAAUCUUAAAGAUAAGCCUUACAAAAUUUAAGUUUGUUGUGGUUACUUAGCUGCAAUAGAAAAUACAAAUUGACCUUUUAAAGUAGAUUAGUGAAAACUUGUAUUGGUGAAAUAUUUGAAGUAAUUAUUUGGAGAUUUAAAGUUAUGCAAGUAUUUAUAGCUUCUUGCACUGACCUAGCCAAAAUAAUUGUUUAUUUAAAUUUUCAACAAAAAACACAGUAUGUCUUUAAAAUGAAAUCCCUUCAUCUGAUUUUGCAAUGUCCUUCAAGACUUAAAAUUAGUUCUCUAUAGUUCCUCAAAAUAGUCUAACAAGGAAGUUGAUUGAAAAUUCAGGUUUAAUUACUGUUAAAAGAUGCCAUGUGAUUUAUGAGUAUAAAUUUGAAGAAUAAAUUGAAAAACACC